This 809-nucleotide ribosomal RNA is filed under the name Uthina ratchaburi. RNAcentral describes it as "partial 28S ribosomal RNA". It matches the Rfam family "Eukaryotic large subunit ribosomal RNA", at positions 354 to 915 of the family's 3401-position model. Lineage: Eukaryota; Metazoa; Arthropoda; Arachnida; Araneae; Pholcidae. The record is from RNAcentral.
UGAGGGAAAGUUGCAAAGAACUUUGAAGAGAGAGUUCAAGAGUACGUGAAACUGCUCGGAAGGAAACGGGUGGAUCUUCGAAGUCCGAGCGGAGCGGGAUUCAGUGGCGGGCGGCGAGGGGUGAUUGAACUUCGUACUCCCUCGCGGGGACGAGGGGCGAGCACCGUUCUCCCGUCAGCCGCGCACUUCUCGCUCCCGGUGGACGCCGCAGCCGGUCUGGCGUCGGCAGAGAGGACUGGCCGGGCGAUGGCGUGGGCGUCGAUCAUGCAUCGGCGUCCCGAUUCUGUACCGGUCGUGUUCCCGGUGCGACGCCGGUCCGAGGGAAAGAGUCCGGACUAGUUCCGGACGUGCCGCGGUCUCGCCAUGAGAAUGGCAGAGCGGGAGAGUGGUCCGGUCCUACCGGCCGUGUUGCCCACCACGAGCGUGAGCGACCGGAAAAAGGUGAGCCGUAAGAUCGCGACCUAGCCCGCUAAGGCGAACCGAGGGCUUGCGGCGAGUAGGUCGGUAUUCCACCCGACCCGUCUUGAAACACGGACCAAGGAGUCUAACUUGUGCGCGAGUCAGUGGGACUCGAUUAAGCCCACGGGCGCAAUGAGAGUGAAUUUUUGUGUCGUGAUCCCGCGCUUCGGCGUGGGCGCAGCGACGGCCCGACUAAAAAGUUGUCCAGCGAUGCUGGCGCCGGUCGGAGCCCGAGCGUACAGGUUGGUACCCGAAAGAUGGUGAACUAUGCCCGGGCAGGUUGAAGCUAGAGGAAACUCUGGUGGAGGACCGCAGCGGUUCUGACGUGCAAAUCGAUCGUCGAACCUGGG